Molecule: long non-coding RNA, 284 nt
Filed under: Nicotiana benthamiana
Lineage: Eukaryota; Viridiplantae; Streptophyta; Magnoliopsida; Solanales; Solanaceae
Description: long non-coding RNA (NBEN_LNC014917)
Source: RNAcentral
AGAUCAAUCAAGCUUCUAAAUCAUCAAUCCUCUCUUCCACAAAUAAUAUAUAUAUAUAUAUAUAUAUAUAUAGCCUCCUAUUUCCAACAAAUUGGUAUCAGAGCUUGGUUUGACAAGAUGAUGGCCAACAAUGUCAUCAUGUUUCCUCGCUUCACAAAGGAUAAUUAUGAUCGAUGGAGCAUCCAUAUGAAGACCUUUGUAGGUGGACAAGACCUAUGGGAGAUUGUGGAGCAAGGUUAUGAGGAGCGUAAAGACAAGGGCUCACUCACGAAAGAAGAAAAGCG